This 510-nucleotide ribosomal RNA is filed under the name uncultured bacterium. Its description in RNAcentral is "partial 16S ribosomal RNA". It matches the Rfam family "Bacterial small subunit ribosomal RNA", at positions 28 to 507 of the family's 1533-position model. The record is from RNAcentral.
GACGAACGCUGGCGGCGUGCUUAACACAUGCAAGUUGAACGAAGAGCGAUGGAAGCUUGCUUCUAUCAAUCUUAGUGGCGAACGGGUGAGUAACGCGUAAUCAACCUGCCCUUCAGAGGGGGACAACAGUUGGAAACGACUGCUGAUACCGCAUACGAUCUAAUCUCGGCAUCGAGGAUAGAUGAAAGGUGGCCUCUACAUGUAAGCUAUCACUGAAGGAGGGGAUUGCGUCUGAUUAGCUAGUUGGAGGGGUAACGGCCCACCAAGGCGAUGAUCAGUAGCCGGUCUGAGAGGAUGAACGGCCACAUUGGGACUGAGACACGGCCCAGACUCCUACGGGAGGCAGCAGUGGGGAAUCUUCCGCAAUAGACGAAAGUCUGACGGAGCAACGCCGCGUGAGUGAUGACGGCCUUCGGGUUGUAAAGCUCUGUUAAUCGGGACGAAAGGCCUUCUUGCGAAUAGUGAGAAGGAUUGACGGUACCGGAAUAGAAAGCCACGGCUAACUACGUG